CAAAAACAUCGCCUCUUGACCAAAUAUAAGAGGUCCAGCCUGCCCACUGACAUAGUUUAACGGCCGCGGUACCCUAACCGUGCGAAGGUAGCAUAAUCACUUGUUCUUUAAAUAAGGACUUGUAUCAACGGCAUCACGAGGACUAUACUGUCUCCUUUCUCCAAUCAGUGAAACUGAUCUCCCCGUGAAGAAGCGGGGAUUAACCUAUAAGACGAGAAGACCCCAUGGAGCUUAAAGCCCACAAACACCUCUACGCACUUAAACCAAUUUAGCCUAAGAGACCUGUAAGCCGGCUUUAGGUUGGGGGGACCGCGGAGAAAAACCUAACCUCCACGACAAACGGGCAAACGCCCUUAUCCAUGAAUUACAAUUCUAAGAAUCAAUAAACUGAUGUUUAAUGACCCGAUUAUUCGAUCAACGAACCAAGUUACCCUGGGGAUAACAGCGCAAUCUACUUUAAGAGCUCAUAUCGACAAGUAGGUUUACGACCUCGAUGUUGGAUCAGGGUAUCCCAGUGGUGUAGCCGCUACUAAAGGUUCGUUUGUUCAACGAUUAAAACCCUACGUGAUCU
RNAcentral lists this ribosomal RNA (571 nucleotides) under Amolops sinensis. RNAcentral describes it as "partial large subunit ribosomal RNA". It matches the Rfam family "Bacterial large subunit ribosomal RNA", at positions 1808 to 2606 of the family's 2925-position model. The record is from RNAcentral. Lineage: Eukaryota; Metazoa; Chordata; Amphibia; Anura; Ranidae.